This 370-nucleotide ribosomal RNA is filed under the name uncultured bacterium. RNAcentral's name for it is "bacterial SSU rRNA". It matches the Rfam family "Bacterial small subunit ribosomal RNA", at positions 790 to 1167 of the family's 1533-position model. The record is from RNAcentral.
GUAGUCCACGCCGUAAACGAUGGAUACUAGCUGUUGGGGUUUACCUCAGUGGCUAAGCGAAAGUGAUAAGUAUCCCACCUGGGGAGUACGUUCGCAAGAAUGAAACUCAAAGGAAUUGACGGGGGCCCGCACAAGCGGUGGAGCAUGUGGUUUAAUUCGAUGAUACGCGAGGAACCUUACCAAGGCUUAAAUGUAGAUUGACAGGACUGGAAACAGUUUUUCCUUCGGGCAAUUUACAAGGUGCUGCAUGGUUGUCGUCAGCUCGUGCCGUGAGGUGUCAGGUUAAGUCCUAUAACGAGCGCAACCCCUGUUGUUAGUUGCCAGCGAGUCAUGUCGGGAACUCUAACAAGACUGCCAGUGUAAACUGUGA